Hyla sarda is the source of this 542-nucleotide long non-coding RNA. RefSeq lists it as uncharacterized. NCBI's taxonomy places the organism in Eukaryota, Metazoa, Chordata, Amphibia, Anura, Hylidae. The transcript has 3 exons. The record is from RefSeq and is a predicted model, not a curated record.
CAGGAAGUGAUCAGAUCUAUGGAUAAGAAGAACUCUACAAGAAUACAUGAUAUUUGACAUAAAAACAGCACAUUUCUUCUCCUUUACAUGCCCCUUACACAAUAAGGGUAUCAUCCUGUAAAAACCUCCGUAGUUACUCCUGUCAAAUAGUCCUGAAAACGUCCGUCAAAUAACCCCAUUCAUGUCAAUGGGAUUUUUUGACCAUCCGUUUGCAUCAGGUGUUUCACAGAAAUAGCAGGAAAGUGAAGGAGAAAAUUCAAAAUCUUCAUUUUUUACAGAUGUUCAUGUACAGCCAUUUUUAAAAUUUUUACAAGGGGUAAAAGGAGAGAAAUACCCCCCAAAAUUUGUAACCCAAUUUCUCUCGAGUAAGGAAAUACCUCAUGUGUGGAUGUAGAGUGUUCUGCAGGUGCAGUACAGGGCUCAGAAGGAAAGGUGCGACAAUGGGAUUUUGAAGAGUGAAUUUUGCUGAAAUGGUUUUUAGGGGCAUGUCGCAUUCAGGAAGCCCCUAUGGUGCCAGAUGAGCAAAAGUAAAAAAAAUAAAA